Molecule: small nuclear RNA, 23 nt
Filed under: Arabidopsis thaliana (thale cress)
Lineage: Eukaryota; Viridiplantae; Streptophyta; Magnoliopsida; Brassicales; Brassicaceae
Description: snRNA_09027
Source: RNAcentral
CACCACAUUAAACUCAACCAUCU